ACGAACGCUGGCGGCGCGCUUAACACAUGCAAGUCGAACGGAGAGGCCUGCUUUCCCUUGUGGAUUGCGGGUACUCGAGUGGCGAACGGGUGAGUAACACGUGAGUGAUCUGCCCCCAACUUGGGUAUAAGCCUGGGAAACUGGGUCUAAUUCCCGAUAGGACUGCAGGGUGGUGCCUGUGGUGGAAAACGAUUUUCUAGUGGUUGGGGAUGAGCUCGCGGCCUAUCAGCUUGUUGGUGGGGUAAUGGCCUACCAAGGCGGCGACGGGUAGCCGGCCUGAGAGGGUGGACGGCCACAUUGGGACUGAGAUACAGCCCAGACUCCUACGGGAGGCAGCAGUGGGGAAUAUUGCACAAUGGGCGGAAGCCUGAUGCAGCGACGCCGCGUGGGGGAUGCCGGCCUUCGGGUUGUAAACUCCUUUCGACCGCGAGGAAGCCACCUGGUUGGAAGGGUGGUGACGGUAGUGGUAGAAGAAGCACCGGCUAACUACGUG
Molecule: ribosomal RNA, 493 nt
Filed under: uncultured bacterium
Lineage: Bacteria
Description: partial 16S ribosomal RNA
Rfam family: Bacterial small subunit ribosomal RNA
Source: RNAcentral